This 253-nucleotide ribosomal RNA is filed under the name uncultured bacterium. RNAcentral's name for it is "partial 16S ribosomal RNA". It matches the Rfam family "Bacterial small subunit ribosomal RNA", at positions 524 to 776 of the family's 1533-position model. The record is from RNAcentral.
UACGUAGGGUGCAAGCGUUAAUCGGAAUUACUGGGCGUAAAGCGUGCGCAGGCGGUUGUGCAAGACAGAUGUGAAAUCCCCGGGCUCAACCUGGGAACUGCAUUUGUGACUGUACGGCUAGAGUGCGGCAGAGGGGGAUGGAAUUCCGCGUGUAGCAGUGAAAUGCGUAGAUAUGCGGAGGAACACCGAUGGCGAAGGCAAUCCCCUGGGCCUGCACUGACGCUCAUGCACGAAAGCGUGGGGAGCAAACAGG